AUUGAACGCUGGCGGCAGGCCUAACACAUGCAAGUCGAGCGGAUGAAGGGAGCUUGCUCCUGGAUUCAGCGGCGGACGGGUGAGUAAUGCCUAGGAAUCUGCCUGGUAGUGGGGGAUAACGUCCGGAAACGGGCGCUAAUACCGCAUACGUCCUGAGGGAGAAAGUGGGGGAUCUUCGGACCUCACGCUAUCAGAUGAGCCUAGGUCGGAUUAGCUAGUUGGUGGGGUAAAGGCCUACCGAGGCGACGAUCCGUAACUGGUCUGAGAGGAUGAUCAGUCACACUGGAACUGAGACACGGUCCAGACUCCUACGGGAGGCAGCAGUGGGGAAUAUUGGCCAAUGGGCGAAAUCCUGAUCCAGCCAUGCCGCGUGUGUGAAGAAGGUCUUCGGAUUGUAAAGCACUUUAAGUUGGGAGGAAGGGCAGUAAGUUAAUACCUUGCUGUUUUGACGUUACCAACAGAAUAAGCACCGGCUAACUUCGUG
Molecule: ribosomal RNA, 484 nt
Filed under: uncultured bacterium
Lineage: Bacteria
Description: partial 16S ribosomal RNA
Rfam family: Bacterial small subunit ribosomal RNA
Source: RNAcentral